This 501-nucleotide ribosomal RNA is filed under the name uncultured bacterium. Its description in RNAcentral is "partial 16S ribosomal RNA". It matches the Rfam family "Bacterial small subunit ribosomal RNA", at positions 30 to 523 of the family's 1533-position model. The record is from RNAcentral.
AUUGAACGCUGGCGGCAGGCUUAACACAUGCAAGUCGAGCGGAGAGAGGUAGCUUGCUACUGAUCUUAGCGGCGGACGGGUGAGUAAUGCUUAGGAAUCUGCCUAUUAGUGGGGGACAACAUUUCGAAAGGAAUGCUAAUACCGCAUACGUCCUACGGGAGAAAGCAGGGGAUCUUCGGACCUUGCGCUAAUAGAUGAGCCUAAGUCGGAUUAGCUAGUUGGUGGGGUAAAGGCCUACCAAGGCGACGAUCUGUAGCGGGUCUGAGAGGAUGGUCCGCCACACUGGGACUGAGACACGGCCCAGACUCCUACGGGAGGCAGCAGUGGGGAAUAUUGGACAAUGGGCGGAAGCCUGAUCCAGCCAUGCCGCGUGUGUGAAGAAGGCCUUAUGGUUGUAAAGCACUUUAAGCGAGGAGGAGGCUACUUUAGUUAAUACCUAGAGAUAGUGGACGUUACUCGCAGAAUAAGCACCGGCUAACUCUGUGCCAGCAGCCGCAGUAA